UAAUAUUAUUUUGGCAGAUUAGUGCUUUAAAUUUAGAAUUUAAAUAUGUGUUAGUUAGUACACAGAUAAUA
This 71-nucleotide transfer RNA is filed under the name Antrocharis querilhaci dispar. Its description in RNAcentral is "transfer RNA-Leu". The record is from RNAcentral. Lineage: Eukaryota; Metazoa; Arthropoda; Insecta; Coleoptera; Leiodidae.